Molecule: ribosomal RNA, 420 nt
Filed under: bacterium
Lineage: Bacteria
Description: partial 16S ribosomal RNA
Rfam family: Bacterial small subunit ribosomal RNA
Source: RNAcentral
UGGGGGAUAUUGCACAAUGGGCGAAAGCCUGAUGCAGCGACGCCGCGUGGGGGAUGAAGGCUUUCGGGUUGUAAACCUCUUUCGCUAUCGAACAAGGCCCGCUUAGGGUGGGUUGAGGGUAGGUGGAGAAGAAGCGCCGGCUAACUACGUGCCAGCAGCCGCGGUAAUACGUAGGGCGCGAGCGUUGUCCGGAAUUAUUGGGCGUAAAGGGCUUGUAGGCGGCUUGUUGCGCCUGCUGUGAAAACGCGGGGCUUAACUUCGCGCGUGCAGUGGGUACGGGCAGGCUUGAGUGUGGUAGGGGUGACUGGAAUUCCAGGUGUAGCGGUGGAAUGCGCAGAUAUCUGGAGGAACACCGAUGGCGAAGGCAGGUCAUUGGGCCAUUACUGACGCUGAGGAGCGAAAGCAUGGGUAGCGAACAGG